Neodiprion virginianus is the source of this 694-nucleotide long non-coding RNA. RefSeq lists it as uncharacterized. Lineage: Eukaryota; Metazoa; Arthropoda; Insecta; Hymenoptera; Diprionidae. The record is from RefSeq and is a predicted model, not a curated record. The transcript is spliced from 3 exons.
UUUACUCAGCCGAAAAGUUGUCGAACUUCCACUGCAAUAAAUUCUACACAUCCUGUAGCUCGAUAACCAUUUCUUAAAAUUUUAAUUUUUUCAUUACUCCUCUCUUACUUUCGUGGCAAAUAUUCACUGCAAUUUCGCACUGCGGAUGAAUAUUAACUGCAUGCAGAACGUGCGAGACACGUGCUUCGAUGAUAAUCGUGCCGGGGUUACAUGUACCGUUCGGUCAAUCGAACGAACGAAUUCAACAGCAACGGCAUCGGCAACAGCAGCAAAAGUAGCAGCAACAGCAUCGGUAUCAAGAUGUGGCAAACCUCGUCUGCGCCUGUAUUUGCGGCCUUGAUCUUUUCCAGCGGUCGUCGGUUAUCCGCGAAUCACAAUUCGCGAUAGUCAGGAUACAGCAAAUACACCAAGGUGACCGGGCGUUAAUACAGUGUGUAAAAAUUUCGGAUUUCGGUAAACCCAAUUUCGGAGUGUGAAUAAAACAAGUGAAGUGGAAGCAGCAGGAGAUUGGAGAAAUCGGAGGAACAUCCUUCAUCCUUCGCAGGCAGCAUCAACGGUGCAAGCUCAUUUUCGGGAUCAAUUUGUGGGUAAUUGGCUUGCUGGAGUUGGCUCGACGCGUCGAAUGGAAAAUAUAUACUAAGGCCGAUUUUGGUAAGAAUACACGUUUCUGAUCAACGUUAAUUUUAAUGUAAGG